AUGCAAGUCGAGGGGCAGCAUGAACUUAGCUUGCUAAGUUUGAUGGCGACCGGCGCACGGGUGAGUAACACGUAUCCAACCUGCCGAUGACUCGGGGAUAGCCUUUCGAAAGAAAGAUUAAUAUCCGAUGGCAUAGUUCUUCCGCAUGGUAGAACUAUUAAAGAAUUUCGGUCAUCGAUGGGGAUGCGUUCCAUUAGGUUGUUGGCGGGGUAACGGCCCACCAAGCCUUCGAUGGAUAGGGGUUCUGAGAGGAAGGUCCCCCACAUUGGAACUGAGACACGGUCCAAACUCCUACGGGAGGCAGCAGUGAGGAAUAUUGGUCAAUGGACGAGAGUCUGAACCAGCCAAGUAGCGUGAAGGAUGACUGCCCUAUGGGUUGUAAACUUCUUUUAUACGGGAAUAAAGUGAGGCACGUGUGCCUUUUUGUAUGUACCGUAUGAAUAAGGAUCGGCUAACUCCGUGCCAGCAGCCGCGGUAAUACGGAGGAUCCGAGCGUUAUCCGGAUUUAUUGGGUUUAAAGGGAGCGUAGGCGGACGCUUAAGUCAGUUGUGAAAGUUUGCGGCUCAACCGUAAAAUUGCAGUUGAUACUGGGUGUCUUGAGUACAGUAGAGGCAGGCGGAAUUCGUGGUGUAGCGGUGAAAUGCUUAGAUAUCACGAAGAACUCCGAUUGCGAAGGCAGCCUGCUGGACUGUAACUGACGCUGAUGCUCGAAAGUGUGGGUAUCAAACAGGAUUAGAUACCCUGGUAGUCCACACAGUAAACGAUGAAUACUCGCUGUUUGCGAUAUACAGUAAGCGGCCAAGCGAAAGCGUUAAGUAUUCCACCUGGGGAGUACGCCGGCAACGGUGAAACUCAAAGGAAUUGACGGGGGCCCGCACAAGCGGAGGAACAUGUGG
This 896-nucleotide ribosomal RNA is filed under the name uncultured bacterium. Its description in RNAcentral is "bacterial SSU rRNA". It matches the Rfam family "Bacterial small subunit ribosomal RNA", at positions 55 to 944 of the family's 1533-position model. The record is from RNAcentral.